Molecule: ribosomal RNA, 320 nt
Filed under: Nitrospirota bacterium
Lineage: Bacteria; Pseudomonadati; Nitrospirota
Description: bacterial SSU rRNA
Rfam family: Bacterial small subunit ribosomal RNA
Source: RNAcentral
GAGAGUUUGAUCCUGGCUCAGAACGAACGCUGGCGGCGCGCCUAACACAUGCAAGUCGAACGAGAAGCCGUCGCAAGACGGUUGUAAAGUGGCAAACGGGUGAGUAAUGCAUGGGCAACCUACCCUCAGGUGGGGGAUAACUCCCCGAAAGGGGUGCUAAUACCGACGAUACGCACCGGCCUUGCAAGGGGCUGGUGGAAAGCCGAGCCGAGGGUUCGGCGCCGGAGGAUGGGCUCAUGUCCUAUCAGCUUGUUGGCGGGGUAAUGGCCCACCAAGGCUACGACGGGUAGCUGGUCUGAGAGGACGACCAGCCACACUGG